CUGUCCUCAAGGAAGAUAAUGACGGUACUUGAGGAGGAAGCCCCGGCUAACUACGUGCCAGCAGCCGCGGUAAUACGUAGGGGGCUAGCGUUAUCCGGACUUACUGGGCGUAAAGGGUGCGUAGGCGGUCUUUCAAGUCAGGAGUGAAAGGCUACGGCUCAACCGUAGUAAGCUCUUGAAACUGGGAGACUUGAGUGCAGGAGAGGAGAGUGGAAUUCCUAGUGUAGCGGUGAAAUGCGUAGAUAUUAGGAGGAACACCAGUUGCGAAGG
Molecule: ribosomal RNA, 270 nt
Filed under: Clostridioides difficile
Lineage: Bacteria; Bacillati; Bacillota; Clostridia; Peptostreptococcales; Peptostreptococcaceae
Description: partial 16S ribosomal RNA
Rfam family: Bacterial small subunit ribosomal RNA
Source: RNAcentral